GUCGUAACAAGGUUUCCGUAGGUGAACCUGCGGAAGGAUCAUUACCUAGAGUUUGUAGACUUCGGUCUGCUACCUCUUACCCAUGUCUUUUGAGUACCUUCGUUUCCUCGGCGGGUCCGCCCGCCGAUUGGACAACAUUCAAACCCUUUGCAGUUGCAAUCAGCGUCUGAAAAAACAUAAUAGUUACAACUUUCAACAACGGAUCUCUUGGUUCUGGCAUCGAUGAAGAACGCAGCGAAAUGCGAUAAGUAGUGUGAAUUGCAGAAUUCAGUGAAUCAUCGAAUCUUUGAACGCACAUCGCGCCCCUUGGUAUUCCAUGGGGCAUGCCUGUUCGAGCGUCAUUUGUACCUUCAAGCUCUGCUUGGUGUUGGGUGUUUUGUCUCGCCUCUGCGUGUAGACUCGCCUUAAAACAAUUGGCAGCCGGCGUAUUGAUUUCGGAGCGCAGUACAUCUCGCGCUUUGCACUCAUAACGGCGACGUCCAAAAGUACAUUUUUACACUCUUGACCUCGGAUCAGGUAGGGAUACCCGCUGAACUUAAGCAUAUCA
This 547-nucleotide ribosomal RNA is filed under the name uncultured fungus. Its description in RNAcentral is "eukaryotic LSU rRNA". The stretch from base 188 to 341 matches the Rfam family "5.8S ribosomal RNA". Lineage: Eukaryota; Fungi. The record is from RNAcentral.